Molecule: ribosomal RNA, 253 nt
Filed under: uncultured bacterium
Lineage: Bacteria
Description: partial 16S ribosomal RNA
Rfam family: Bacterial small subunit ribosomal RNA
Source: RNAcentral
CACGUAGGGCGCAAGCGUUGUCCGGAAUUAUUGGGCGUAAAGAGCUCGUAGGCGGUCUGUUGCGUCCGCUGUGAAAACUCGGGGCUUAACCCCGAGCCUGCAGUGGAUACGGGCAGACUAGAGUCAGGUAGGGGAGAACGGAAUUCCUGGUGUAGCGGUGAAAUGCGCAGAUAUCAGGAGGAACACCGGUGGCGAAGGCGGUUCUCUGGGCCUGUACUGACGCUGAGGAACGAAAGCGUGGGGAGCGAACAGG